CCUCCUGGGUUCAAGUGAUUCUCCUGCCUCAGCCUCCUGUGUAGCUGGGAUUACAGGUACAUGCCACCAUGCUCGGCUAAUUUCUGUAUUUUUUUUUUAGUAGAGAUGGGAUUUCACCAUGUUGGCCAGGCUGGUCACAAACUCCUGACCUCAAAUCAUCUGUCCACCUUGGCCUCCCAAAGUGCUGGGAUUACAGGUGUGAGCCACCACACCCAGCCAAGCCAGUGCUCUCUUUACAGCCAGGGCUGCCUCCCUCACACACCUGGCCAAAGGGCCGGCAGCAUCUGCACUCAAGUGAAGAGAUCUAAGCACCUUUGAGCCCCGGAGCAGCAGGCGGAGCUGCCACCAGCAUGGGGCCUUUCAUGCAGGGGAUCCCGCAGCCCUUCUCCUUCCCCUUCCUCCUCCCUUGACAAUGUGUUCAGGCCUCCCACGGCCUUUGGCAUCAAGAAAUUCCAAUGGAUGUUAACCAGCCUAGUAAUUUAGUACAGCGUUAGCACCGAGUCACAAGGUUGAGGACAUGCACCCAUGACACACCCUCAGGAGGUUCUGACACACCCUCAGGAGGUUCUGACACACCCUCAGGAGGUUCUGAGCACAAGGUUCUUGUGCCCAAGGUGGUCAGAGCACAGCUUGGUUUUAUACCUUUUGGGGAGACAGGAGCCAUCAGUCAACACAUGUAAAAUGAACAUUGGUUCGGUCUGGAAAGGCAGGACAACUUGAAGCAGUCAGGGGGCUUCCAGAUCACAGAUACGUGAGAGAAAAACGGUGCUAUUUCCAAAUAUUUCCAAAGUACUCUCUUUUUCAGCUACUCACCAGGAAGAAAGUAAAUGCCUGUCAGACAUGGUUACUAAUCUCCUCCUGUGGGUGGGAUGAAAAGGAACUUACUGCUGAUUGGCUGGGGGUGAGUACCUGGCCAAUCAGGUGCUCACCCUCACCUGGUCUCAGAUUCCUCUUUGGCAAAUGAGGGAAUCAAUUCUCUAUCAAGGGGUAGCAAGUUCAAAUGCUCAGGGGGCAAGUCAGGUAACACAACCCAGUGAAGCCGGUAUGAUGUUUGUAUAUGAGGUACUUAAGAGCCUCACUUUCCUAAGUAAAUAUGCUUUCUCCUAUUUUUCUUGAAAUGCAUACCAGUGCCAGUCUGUUUCUCUUUAUCCCAAUUUUGAGAAAAACGUAUGUAUAAAAGAUACAUUUUUAGGCCAGGCGUGGUGGCUUAUACCUUUAAUCCAGAACUUUGGGAGGC
Molecule: long non-coding RNA, 1237 nt
Filed under: Macaca fascicularis (crab-eating macaque)
Lineage: Eukaryota; Metazoa; Chordata; Mammalia; Primates; Cercopithecidae
Description: lncRNA (ENSMFAG00000062058.1)
Source: RNAcentral